This 976-nucleotide ribosomal RNA is filed under the name Clostridioides difficile. Its description in RNAcentral is "partial 23S ribosomal RNA". It matches the Rfam family "Bacterial large subunit ribosomal RNA", at positions 553 to 1535 of the family's 2925-position model. Lineage: Bacteria; Bacillati; Bacillota; Clostridia; Peptostreptococcales; Peptostreptococcaceae. The record is from RNAcentral.
AAACCCUGCACUUACAAGCUGUGGAAGCACAUUUCUUGUGUGACCGCGUACUUUUUGUAGAACGGGCCAACGAGUUACGUUAAGUAGCAAGGUUAAGCACUUAAGGUGUGGAGCCGUAGCGAAAGCGAGUUUUAACUGAGCGUUCAGUUACUUGACGUAGACCCGAAACCGGGCGACCUACCCAUGAGCAGGAUGAAGCGAAAGUAAAAUUUCGUGGAGGUCCGAACCCACGAGCGUUGAAAAGCUCGGGGAUGACUUGUGGGUAGCGGUGAAAUUCCAAUCGAGCCCGGAGAUAGCUGGUUCUCCCCGAAAUAGCUUUAGGGCUAGCCUCAAGGUGAGAGAUACGGAGGUAGAGCACUGAAUGUCCUAGGGGGUAUUGCACCUACCGAAGACUAUCAAACUCCGAAUGCCGUCAUCUUAUACUUGGGAGUCAGACUGUGGGUGAUAAGAUUCAUAGUCGAAAGGGCAACAGCCCAGAUCGUCAGCUAAGGUCCCUAAAUGUAAGUUAAGUGGUAAAGGAUGUGGGAUUGCACAGACAACCAGGAUGUUGGCUUAGAAGCAGCCACUCAUUCAAAGAGUGCGUAAUAGCUCACUGGUCGAGUGAUCCUGCGCCGAAGAUUUCCGGGGCUAAAACUUACUACCGAAGCUACGGCAUCAGUAAUGAUGGGUAGGGGAGCUUCCCAUACGGGUUGAAGCAUGACCGUAAGGACAUGUGGACAGUAUGGGAGUGAGAAUGUUGGCAUGAGUAGCGAGAUGUGGGUGAGAAUCCCACAGGCCGUAAACCCAAGGUUUCCAGGGGAAGGUUCGUCCGCCCUGGGUUAGUCGGGACCUAAGCUGAGGCCGAAAGGCGUAGGUGAUGGACAACAGGUUGAUAUUCCUGUACUACCGAUAACCGUUUGAGAGAUGGGAUGACACAGUAGGAUAAGCUAAGCACACUGUUGGUUAUGUGUGCCCAAGCAUUGAGGCAGUCAGAGUA